This 475-nucleotide ribosomal RNA is filed under the name uncultured bacterium. RNAcentral describes it as "bacterial SSU rRNA". It matches the Rfam family "Bacterial small subunit ribosomal RNA", at positions 15 to 518 of the family's 1533-position model. The record is from RNAcentral.
GAUCAUGGCUCAGGAUGAACGCUGGCGGCGUGCCUAACACAUGCAAGUCGAGCGAUUACUUCGGUAAAGAGCGGCGGACGGGUGAGUAACGCGUGGGUAACCUGCCUCAUACACAUGGAUAACAUACCGAAAGGUAUGCUAAUACAGGAUAAUAUAAGAGAUUCACAUGGAUUUUUUAUCAAAGCUCCGGCGGUAUGAGAUGGACCCGCGUCUGAUUAGCUAGUUGGUAAGGUAAUGGCUUACCAAGGCGACGAUCAGUAGCCGACCUGAGAGGGUGAUCGGCCACAUUGGAACUGAGACACGGUCCAAACUCCUACGGGAGGCAGCAGUGGGGAAUAUUGCACAAUGGGCGAAAGCCUGAUGCAGCAACGCCGCGUGAGUGAUGAAGGCCUUCGGGUCGUAAAACUCUGUCCUCAAGGAAGAUAAUGACGGUACUUGAGGAGGAAGCCCCGGCUAACUACGUGCCAGCAGCGGC